This is a non-coding RNA of Pseudopodoces humilis (Tibetan ground-tit), 412 nucleotides long. The record is from RefSeq and is a predicted model, not a curated record. NCBI's taxonomy places the organism in Eukaryota, Metazoa, Chordata, Aves, Passeriformes, Paridae.
GAUUUGUGCCCCCACCCCCUGAACUCCUCCCACUGCCGCUGCCCCCCCGGCUUCGAGGGACCCCCCUGGGACCGGGACCAGCCCUGGGAGAGGCACUGCCAGGACAUCAACGAGUGCGUGGGGGAGGGGCCCCCGCCCUGCCCCCCCCAGCAGAGCUGCAACAACACCGAGGGGGGGUUCGGCUGCGUCUGCAACGGCGGCUACAGAGCCGGGACCCCCCCCGGGACCCCUCCCCAAAACGGGACCCCCCCAGGGACCCCCCCAGGGACCCCCCUGCACUGCCAAGAUGUGGACGAGUGCUCGGAGGGGGGGGAGGGGCUGUGCGGGGGGGGCUCCGUGUGCCUCAACACCCCCGGGAGCUUCGAGUGCCACUGUCCCCCCCCCGGGCGGGGACCCCCGGGCCCCGAGGGGU